Molecule: small nucleolar RNA, 67 nt
Filed under: Tinamus guttatus (white-throated tinamou)
Lineage: Eukaryota; Metazoa; Chordata; Aves; Tinamiformes; Tinamidae
Description: Small nucleolar RNA SNORD18
Rfam family: Small nucleolar RNA SNORD18
About the family: U18 is a member of the C/D class of snoRNA which contain the C (UGAUGA) and D (CUGA) box motifs. It is encoded in introns of ribosomal protein L1 in Xenopus and human, and in introns of elongation factor 1 beta in yeast.
Source: Rfam by way of RNAcentral
UAAGAAUGAUGAGCUUUCACUGGUCCGUGUUUCAGAUAAGCAGUGGUGACUGUGAAGUUCUGAGUAG